CCCCUCCUCUCUCUCAUCUCCUCAUUCCACUCCCUCUCUCUCUCACACUCUCUUGCUCUCUCUCUCUAGAAGAAGCAGAAGAAAAGAGAAGGAAAAGAAGGAAGAAAAGGAAGGAGAAGAAGAAAGAGAUCAAGCUAGGAAGGCUUUUGGACCUCUCCCUGUUCCUCUCUUCUCUCUUUGAAGCUAACAUAGAGGUAAGCUUCCAACCCUAGCUUAUGGAACUUAGGGUUUUUGAAUUUUUAGCUUUGGGAAUGGGGUCAAAUGG
RNAcentral lists this long non-coding RNA (265 nucleotides) under Ananas comosus (pineapple). RNAcentral describes it as "long non-coding RNA (ACOM_LNC019704)". The record is from RNAcentral. Lineage: Eukaryota; Viridiplantae; Streptophyta; Magnoliopsida; Poales; Bromeliaceae.